This 1436-nucleotide ribosomal RNA is filed under the name uncultured organism. Its description in RNAcentral is "SSU rRNA". It matches the Rfam family "Bacterial small subunit ribosomal RNA". The record is from RNAcentral.
GCGACAGGCUUAACACAUGCAAGUCGAGGGGCAGCGGGGGUAGCGAUACCCGCCGGCGACCGGCGCACGGGUGAGUAACGCGUAUGCAACUUGCCUAUCAGAGGGGGAUAACCCGGCGAAAGUCGGACUAAUACCGCAUGAAGCAGGGGCCCCGCAUGGGGAUAUUUGCUAAAGAUUCAUCGCUGAUAGAUAGGCAUGCGUUCCAUUAGGCAGUUGGCGGGGUAACGGCCCACCAAACCGACGAUGGAUAGGGGUUCUGAGAGGAAGGUCCCCCACAUUGGUACUGAGACACGGACCAAACUCCUACGGGAGGCAGCAGUGAGGAAUAUUGGUCAAUGGCCGAGAGGCUGAACCAGCCAAGUCGCGUGAGGGAUGAAGGUUCUAUGGAUCGUAAACCUCUUUUAUAAGGGAAUAAAGUGCGGGACGUGUCCCGUUUUGUAUGUACCUUAUGAAUAAGGAUCGGCUAACUCCGUGCCAGCAGCCGCGGUAAUACGGAGGAUCCGAGCGUUAUCCGGAUUUAUUGGGUUUAAAGGGUGCGUAGGCGGCCUUUUAAGUCAGCGGUGAAAGUCUGUGGCUCAACCAUAGAAUUGCCGUUGAAACUGGGGGGCUUGAGUAUGUUUGAGGCAGGCGGAAUGCGUGGUGUAGCGGUGAAAUGCAUAGAUAUCACGCAGAACCCCGAUUGCGAAGGCAGCCUGCCAAGCCAUUACUGACGCUGAUGCACGAAAGCGUGGGGAUCAAACAGGAUUAGAUACCCUGGUAGUCCACGCAGUAAACGAUGAUCACUAGCUGUUUGCGAUACACUGUAAGCGGCACAGCGAAAGCGUUAAGUGAUCCACCUGGGGAGUACGCCGGCAACGGUGAAACUCAAAGGAAUUGACGGGGGCCCGCACAAGCGGAGGAACAUGUGGUUUAAUUCGAUGAUACGCGAGGAACCUUACCCGGGUUUGAACGCAUUCGGACCGAGGUGGAAACACCUUUUCUAGCAAUAGCCGUUUGCGAGGUGCUGCAUGGUUGUCGUCAGCUCGUGCCGUGAGGUGUCGGCUUAAGUGCCAUAACGAGCGCAACCCUUGCCACUAGUUACUAACAGGUAAAGCUGAGGACUCUGGUGGGACUGCCAGCGUAAGCUGCGAGGAAGGCGGGGAUGACGUCAAAUCAGCACGGCCCUUACAUCCGGGGCGACACACGUGUUACAAUGGCGUGGACAAAGGGAAGCCACCUGGCGACAGGGAGCGAAUCCCCAAACCACGUCUCAGUUCGGAUCGGAGUCUGCAACCCGACUCCGUGAAGCUGGAUUCGCUAGUAAUCGCGCAUCAGCCAUGGCGCGGUGAAUACGUUCCCGGGCCUUGUACACACCGCCCGUCAAGCCAUGGGAGCCGGGGGUACCUGAAGUCCGUAACCGCGAGGAUCGGCCUAGGGUAAAACUGGUGACUGGGGCU